This 844-nucleotide ribosomal RNA is filed under the name uncultured bacterium. RNAcentral's name for it is "bacterial SSU rRNA". It matches the Rfam family "Bacterial small subunit ribosomal RNA", at positions 58 to 916 of the family's 1533-position model. The record is from RNAcentral.
CAAGUCGAACGAUGAAGUUCCUUCGGGAAUGGAUUAGUGGCGAACGGGUGAGGAACACGUGAGAAACCUGCCUUUCAUUCUGGGAUAACACCGGGAAACCGGUGCUAAUACCGGAUACUCCGUCUUGGCGGCAUCGCCGAGCCGGGAAAAAAUUUUGAUGAAAGAUGGUCUCGCGGCCUAUCAGCUAGUUGGUGAGGUAAUGGCUCACCAAGGCGACGACGGGUAGCCGGCCUGAGAGGGCGACCGGCCACACUGGGACUGAGACACGGCCCAGACUCCUACGGGAGGCAGCAGUAGGGAAUAUUGGGCAAUGGGCGCAAGCCUGACCCAGCGACGCCGCGUGAGGGAUGAAGGUCUUCGGAUUGUAAACCUCUUUCAGUAGGGAAGAAGCGAAAGUGACGGUACCUAAAGAAGAAGCACCGGCUAACUAUGUGCCAGCAGCCGCGGUAAUACAUAGGGUGCAAGCGUUGUCCGGAAUUAUUGGGCGUAAAGAGCUCGUAGGUCGUUUGUCGCGUCGAUUGUGAAAAUCUGAGGCUCAACCUCAGACCUGCAGUCGAUACGGGCAAACUAGAGUGUGGUAGGGGAGACUGGAAUUCCUGGUGUAGCGGUGGAAUGCGCAGAUAUCAGGAGGAACACCAAUGGCGAAGGCAGGUCUCUGGGCCAUAACUGACACUGAGGAGCGAAAGUGCGGGGAGCGAACAGGAUUAGAUACCCUGGUAGUCCGCACCGUAAACGGUGGGCACUAGUUGUGGGAACCUUCCACGGUUUCCGCGACGCAGCAAACGCAUUAAGUGCCCCGCCUGGGGAGUACGAUCGCAAGAUUAAAACUCAAAGGAAUUGACGG